Molecule: long non-coding RNA, 893 nt
Organism: Chrysemys picta bellii (western painted turtle)
Lineage: Eukaryota; Metazoa; Chordata; Testudines; Emydidae
Source: RefSeq, a predicted model, not a curated record
AGGUCAACGGAGAUCAGUCUCCCUGCCACAGGAAGUCCUGCUUCUGCACAGAUAUAACACUGAGCGCGGCUUAUUUCCAGGUUUUGAGCAGAGCCCGGCACACAACGCGAAGCGUUUUGAACAGCCCCCUUGCAUGCUAGUUUCACUAGCUAUAGAAGAAGAAGCUGCUCUUUUGAACUCACCAAGCAGCGUGCCGCACUGCUCAGGCCACUCAGUAACAUGGCUCCAAAGAACACGAAUACUUUUGUCCGAGAGCUCCUCAUCACUACCCUCAAGAAACUGAGCCCAGCUGAAUUUGAAGAGUUCAAAUAUGAGCUGUGCAAGACACCCAUGAACAAGCUUGUCCAUGCAGGAGAUGAAUACCAUGACGAACCCAAUGUAUUCGGGUGGCUAGACACCAUAGAAGCCAUUGUCGAUAAAUUGAUAAGCAAGUUCAACCGAACUCACUCACUCAUAGCAGCUGAGACGGUGCUGGAAAAAAUAGGGAGAUGGGACCUCUCUCAAGAACUCCAGGGAAAAGCAAAAGGCCUGGCAGCGACCCAUCAUGGAUUGAAAAGAAAAAGACAAAUAAUAAAAGGAUUAUUCAAGGUAGCGACCGGAGCGGCGAUAGGAACAACUUCAUGGGGAGCUGCAGGAGUAGCAGUGGCUGGAGCACCAUUGGCCGUGGCAGUCGGGGGUGUUUUUCUCGGAGGGAUAUUAGUAAUAAAAGGCAUGAGACACAUCUUUUAAGCGGAACUGAAGGACAGCCACAGGUUCCCGUUACAGCAAUAGCUCAGAUGUUCCUGCCCCCGGCUUCCUUCGAAGACAUUCCAGAGUCGGAAAGCCACAGUCACAAGUUUGCUGAUCCGAGCCCUCUAGCGAAUUAGACAGCAAUAAACAGCGAUUAUUUCCCA